This 429-nucleotide ribosomal RNA is filed under the name Acidobacteriota bacterium. RNAcentral's name for it is "Acidobacteria bacterium partial 16S ribosomal RNA". It matches the Rfam family "Bacterial small subunit ribosomal RNA", at positions 355 to 776 of the family's 1533-position model. The record is from RNAcentral. Lineage: Bacteria; Pseudomonadati; Acidobacteriota.
CGGGGAAUUUUGGACAAUGGGGGAAACCCUGAUCCAGCCAUCCCGCGUGUUCGAUGAAGGACUUCGGGUUGUAAAGCACUUUUGGCAGGAAAGAAACGUCAUGGGUUAAUACCCCGUGAAACUGACGGUACCUGCAGAAUAAGCACCGGCUAACUACGUGCCAGCAGCCGCGGUAAUACGUAGGGUGCAAGCGUUAAUCGGAAUUACUGGGCGUAAAGCGUGCGCAGGCGGUUCGGAAAGAAAGAUGUGAAAUCCCAGAGCUCAACUUUGGAACUGCAUUGUUAGCUACCGGACUGGAGUGUGUCAGAGGGAGGUGGAAUUCCGCGUGUAGCGGUGAAAUGCGUAGAUAUGCGGAGGAACACCGAUGGCGAAGGCAGCCUCCUGGGAUAACACUGACGCUCAUGCACGAAAGCGUGGGGAGCAAACAGG